RNAcentral lists this long non-coding RNA (285 nucleotides) under Lathyrus oleraceus (garden pea). RNAcentral describes it as "Pisum sativum (pea) long non-coding RNA (PSAT_LNC027155)". Lineage: Eukaryota; Viridiplantae; Streptophyta; Magnoliopsida; Fabales; Fabaceae. The record is from RNAcentral.
CAGUUCCCUGUGGUUUACUUGUUCAAUUGCUCAGUAACCAGUAAUUGUUCAUCUUUUCCCCAGUGGAUGUUUUUAUGUCCUUCUACCCAGUAACCGGUAGUUGUAAGUCCUAUUUUUGUGGUUUUCUACCCAGUAACCAGUAGAUGUAAUCCCCUCUUUGUUGGUUAUCUUUAUCCAAUAUUCGGUAUUGAUAUUCCUUCAUUUUUGAGUAUACCACCCAUUAACCGGUGAUAUAUAUCUCAGAUGAUUACUUUUGGAAAGCAAUUUAUCCCCCGCGAGUCAUCU